RNAcentral lists this ribosomal RNA (498 nucleotides) under uncultured bacterium. Its description in RNAcentral is "partial 16S ribosomal RNA". It matches the Rfam family "Bacterial small subunit ribosomal RNA", at positions 30 to 523 of the family's 1533-position model. The record is from RNAcentral.
AUUGAACGCUGGCGGCAUGCUUUACACAUGCAAGUCGAACGGAGUUGGAGCUUGCUCCAAUUUAGUGGCGAACGGGUGAGUAAUAUAUCGGAACGUACCCGGCAAUGGGGGAUAACGUAGCGAAAGUUACGCUAAUACCGCAUAUGCCCUGAGGGGGAAAGCAGGGGACCAGUAAGGGUCUUGCGUUGACGGAGCGGCCGAUAUCAGAUUAGCUAGUUGGUGAGGUAAAGGCUCACCAAGGCGACGAUCUGUAGCGGGUCUGAGAGGAUGAUCCGCCACACUGGGACUGAGACACGGCCCAGACUCCUACGGGAGGCAGCAGUGGGGAAUUUUGGACAAUGGGCGCAAGCCUGAUCCAGCCAUGCCGCGUGAGUGAAGAAGGCCUUCGGGUUGUAAAGCUCUUUCAGCCGGAAAGAAAACGCACCACCUAAUACGUGGUGUGGAUGACGGUACCGGAAGAAGAAGCACCGGCUAACUACGUGCCAGCCGCCGCGGUAA